Molecule: ribosomal RNA, 492 nt
Filed under: uncultured bacterium
Lineage: Bacteria
Description: partial 16S ribosomal RNA
Rfam family: Bacterial small subunit ribosomal RNA
Source: RNAcentral
AGUGAACGCUGGCGGUAGGCCUAACACAUGCAAGUCGAACGGCAGCACAGUAAGAGCUUGCUCUUACGGGUGGCGAGUGGCGGACGGGUGAGGAAUACAUCGGAAUCUACUUUUUCGUGGGGGAUAACGUAGGGAAACUUACGCUAAUACCGCAUACGACCUACGGGUGAAAGCAGGGGAUCUUCGGACCUUGCGCGAUUGAAUGAGCCGAUGUCGGAUUAGCUAGUUGGCGGGGUAAAGGCCAACCAAGGCGACGAUCCGUAGCUGGUCUGAGAGGAUGAUCAGCCACACUGGAACUUAGACACGGUCCAGACUCCUACGGGAGGCAGCAGUCUGGAAUAUUGGACAAUGGUCGCAAGCCUUAUCCAGCCAUACCGCGUGGGUGAAGAAGGCCUUCGGGUUGUAAAGCCCUUUUGUUGGGAAAGAAAAGCAGCAGGUUAAUACCCCGCUGUUCUGACGGUACCCAAAGAAUAAGCACCGGCUAACUUCGUG